CUCAUACUCAUUUUUAACAACAUAUUAACAUAAUAAAAUAUUUUACAUGUAAAUUCAAAAAAAAAUCUACUUUUUAACUGCAUUCUUUAAAAAAAAAUCACUAUUUAAAACAUCAAUUUUUCUAAAUAAUGGCCAUCAGAUAGGACCAUAGUCUAAAAUAUAAACUCCAUACUAAAUGAUUUCAAAAGAUGUCUCUUGCUUAGGGAACAUUUGGAAGGCAAGGAUUUAUUCUUGAAAGGCAAGUGGGAACUUGGAAGGCAAGGAUUAUUCUUGGAAGGCAAGGUGCAACUUGGAUUGGCUUGCUUGGCACUUUGUCAGACCAGGUGGGGAGCGCUCGGACCCUGGCCAGUUGGAGGCACAUCCUGCGAUUAACCGGACUGUGUGAAGAGGGGCCGGAUCACAGACCCAA
Molecule: long non-coding RNA, 409 nt
Filed under: Olea europaea subsp. europaea
Lineage: Eukaryota; Viridiplantae; Streptophyta; Magnoliopsida; Lamiales; Oleaceae
Source: RNAcentral